This 305-nucleotide ribosomal RNA is filed under the name Umbilicaria pulvinaria. Its description in RNAcentral is "partial 18S ribosomal RNA". The record is from RNAcentral. Lineage: Eukaryota; Fungi; Ascomycota; Lecanoromycetes; Umbilicariales; Umbilicariaceae.
UGACACAAACUUCUUUAACCAGAUGUAAGUACUCACGCCUAUGGAAGCCUUGCGUCUCAGUCUGUCCUGUAUAGGCAACACCGACAUGAUGCUGGGAUUUCGCCUGUGACCGGUGAAUACCAGCAGCCGCUAACGCGGCUCACAGAUCAAACGUCGGUGGCUCGGUGGGGCCGUGAUCCUCUCUUGAAGCUAUGCUCAAGAGGCGUCCGCCCCAACUGUUCCCCGAGUUCAGAUAUGACCGGCCUCAUCACGAAAAUGAUUGGGAACUGCCGCGUUCCGUAGGUGAACCUGCGGAAGGAUCAUUA